UACGUAGGGUGCAAGCGUUACUCGGAAUUACUGGGCGUAAAGCGUGCGCAGGCGGUUGUGCAAGACAGAUGUGAAAUCCCCGGGCUCAACCUGGGAAUUGCAUUUGUGACUGCACGGCUAGAGUGUGUCAGAGGGGGGUAGAAUUCCACGUGUAGCAGUGAAAUGCGUAGAGAUGUGGAGGAAUACCGAUGGCGAAGGCAGCCCCCUGGGAUAACACUGACGCUCAUGCACGAAAGCGUGGGGAGCAAACAGG
RNAcentral lists this ribosomal RNA (253 nucleotides) under uncultured bacterium. RNAcentral's name for it is "partial 16S ribosomal RNA". It matches the Rfam family "Bacterial small subunit ribosomal RNA", at positions 524 to 776 of the family's 1533-position model. The record is from RNAcentral.